This 669-nucleotide long non-coding RNA is filed under the name Ananas comosus (pineapple). RNAcentral describes it as "long non-coding RNA (ACOM_LNC027689)". Lineage: Eukaryota; Viridiplantae; Streptophyta; Magnoliopsida; Poales; Bromeliaceae. The record is from RNAcentral.
UAAUAAUCCAAUCACCGACUGUGUAUCUCUAGUAUAAGUGAUAGAGGACUUGGUGGUUGGUACCUAAAAUCCCAAGCUCGAAUUUUAGUUGAUUUAUAUUUCCAGCUAAAUUUAUUUCUAAAAAAAAAACAUCCAAUCACCGUAUUUAAACACGGUGACUGAAUUAUCACAUUCAACAUAAAAAAUAAUAAUCUAGCCCGUAUUUAAACGUAAUUAUUGGAUCACCAUAUUCAACUUAAAAAAUGCCUGCACCACUCUUCUCUCGGUAGUAGAAAUUAAGAGAGGUAAUUUUAUAAAUAUAAAUUUAUUGGGACACUUUGUUAAAUAAUUAAAAUUGCUUGUUUCUUCACAGGUUUAGGUUUAGGGCUUUCUUCACAGGUUUAGGUUUAGGGCAUGUUUGUUUCACUGAAACUGGGCUUUGGGUUGAAAUAGACUUUGAGUUGAAAUGGAGUUCGGUAAAAACUAUUUCUUCUCCGCUAUUUGUUUUGUAGUUAAUUAUAAAUGUGAAGUUUUAUUAGUUCUGCUGUUUAUUUAGUAGAAAGUGUAUAAUAUAAAACUAUAAUUUAUAUAUAAAUAAUAAAUAAUUUAAUGUAAUAAUUAAAAAUAAUAUAAUUACAUUUUUAUAUAAUUAAAAUUUAAUUUAAAGCAACAAAAUUAUUUUUUUAUACA